This is a transfer RNA of Exophiala dermatitidis, 134 nucleotides long. It matches the Rfam family "tRNA". Rfam says of the family: Transfer RNA (tRNA) molecules are approximately 80 nucleotides in length. The record is from Rfam. NCBI's taxonomy places the organism in Eukaryota, Fungi, Ascomycota, Eurotiomycetes, Chaetothyriales, Herpotrichiellaceae.
GGGAGGAUGGCCGAGCGGUCUAAGGCGUGCGACUCAAGAGAAGAAAGUCUUCCGAUUUUCCAUCUUGGGACCUGAGUACAGGUUUCUGUCUUCGCAUGGAGCAAUCCGCGUGGGUUCGAAUCCCACUCCUCUCA